GAGCUGAGUAAAAAAUAUCAGUCCCUUUUAAGAAUCUUUAACUGAAUCUUGACUUAGUAGAAGAACCAAAUGAAGUCUAAUUACAGGCAGGAAACAAGUAUUAUCAUUGAAGUAUCCAAAACAUGCUUUCAGCACCAAGAGGUGUUUGUGAUUCCCAGGCUCAUUCUUAGACUGCGGCAACACUCUUCCCCCAUACGUCGUGCGUAAGCUAGGACUUUUCUGCCCAGUCGAAGGGGAAAUAGUCCAAGAGCAAUUCAGUUAUCUUUGGCUUGAGGCUUCUAUACGCCGUGAGUAUAGCAGCAGAUAUUCAUUGGAUGCAGCUAUGUGCAAAAAUAUUGUUCCAAGUGCUGAGGAUGCAGCCAUAAACAAAUGGAUACCAAUCCCUGCCUUCAUGGAACAUGUAUUUGUAUAUAUUUUCUUCUCUGAAGCUAAAUGUUCAAAUAUUUAUUUUAUAUUUCUUCACAAAAACACAGAUAAGCCUGUGAUGAAUAAGACGUCCAAUUAAAAAUUGAAUGAGAUACCAGAUAAAAGUUACAGUAUUACAGAGUGAAAACUGGCAUUCUCCCCUUCUGAUGUGCAUUGCCAGCUCCUCCAACAAGGGUAAACCUGACCAACUAGUCAUUAAAUCCCUGGUGGCCUGUGACUUUCCUUGGCCAAUAGAAUGUGGUCUCAAGAAGCAUUACUUGCUUCCACUCUCUUCCCUGGAACACUGCCAAGCCUCCAAAUGAACAUUUCCAACCUAGCCUGUCAGAAGAUGGAAGAUACUUGGCCUGGUUACUCACAUUGCCACAGCCAACAGCUAGUCAAACACCAGGCAUGUGUGCAAUGCCAGAUUAGAUAGUCAGCUCAGGCAACCUUACAACUGAUCUCAGACACAUAAGAAAGCCUGAGAUCAACCAAGCCUGGCCUAGAUGGGCAGACCCAUAGACUCAUCAGUGAUAUUAAUGAUUGUUUUAAGGCUUGGAAAAUUUGAGCCCAUAGAUUGUCCCCUUGCUUUUGUAAAUAAAGUUUUAUUAGAACACUGCCACACCCAUUUGUUUAUGUAUUGUCUGCAGCUGCUUUCAUGCUACAACAGUAGCAUCAACCAAUGGCAAUAGAGACCUUAAUGACCUACAAAGCCAAAAAUAUCAUCUGGCCAUUUAUAGAAAAGGUUUGCUGACCCCUAUUUUAAGCCACUACAUUUUGAGGUGGAUUGUUAACCAAGAACAUGUGAAUAUAUCCUUUUGGCAAAAUAUUUCCAGAAAUGUUUGCUUUCAUUAAAUACAGUAUCCUAUUGUAUUGUUAUUUCUAAUUUAUAAUAAUUUCUAGACCUUCUAAGUUUUACAACUACUUGUUAAACAAAUAUUUAAUUAUUGAGUAUCCAAUAUAAGCCAUCACUCCACUAGGUGCUAGCGAUAUAG
RNAcentral lists this long non-coding RNA (1400 nucleotides) under Equus caballus (horse). RNAcentral's name for it is "lncRNA (ENSECAG00000058643.1)". Lineage: Eukaryota; Metazoa; Chordata; Mammalia; Perissodactyla; Equidae. The record is from RNAcentral.